AAGCGGCAACAGCUCAAAUUUGAAAUCUGGCUCUUUUAGAGUCCGAGUUGUAAUUUGCAGAGGGCGCUUUGGCUUUGGCAGCGGUCCAAGUUCCUUGGAACAGGACGUCACAGAGGGUGAGAAUCCCGUACGUGGUCGCUGGCUAUUGCCGUGUAAAGCCCCUUCGACGAGUCGAGUUGUUUGGGAAUGCAGCUCUAAAUGGGAGGUACAUUUCUUCUAAAGCUAAAUAUUGGCCAGAGACCGAUAGCGCACAAGUAGAGUGAUCGAAAGAUGAAAAGCACUUUGGAAAGAGAGUCAAACAGCACGUGAAAUUGUUGAAAGGGAAGCGCUUGCAGCCAGACUUGCUUGCAGUUGCUCAUCCGGGCUUUUGCCCGGUGCACUCUUCUGCAGGCAGGCCAGCAUCAGUUUGGGCGGUAAGAUAAAGGUCUCUGUCACGUACCUCUCUUCGGGGAGGCCUUAUAGGGGAGACGACAUAUUACCAGCCUGGACUGAGGUCCG
RNAcentral lists this ribosomal RNA (498 nucleotides) under Alternaria sp. MU-18. RNAcentral's name for it is "eukaryotic LSU rRNA". It matches the Rfam family "Eukaryotic large subunit ribosomal RNA", at positions 96 to 597 of the family's 3401-position model. Lineage: Eukaryota; Fungi; Ascomycota; Dothideomycetes; Pleosporales; Pleosporaceae. The record is from RNAcentral.